GGUUAAGCGACUAAGCGUACACGGUGGAUGCCCUGGCAGUCAGAGGCGAUGAAGGACGUGCUAAUCUGCGAUAAGCGUCGGUAAGGUGAUAUGAACCGUUAUAACCGGCGAUUUCCGAAUGGGGAAACCCAGUGUGUUUCGACACACUAUCAUUAACUGAAUCCAUAGGUUAAUGAGGCGAACCGGGGGAACUGAAACAUCUAAGUACCCCGAGGAAAAGAAAUCAACCGAGAUUCCCCCAGUAGCGGCGAGCGAACGGGGAGCAGCCCAGAGCCUGAAUCAGUGUGUGUGUUAGUGGAAGCGUCUGGAAAGGCGCGCGAUACAGGGUGACAGCCCCGUACACAAAAAUGCACAUGCUGUGAGCUCGAUGAGUAGGGCGGGACACGUGGUAUCCUGUCUGAAUAUGGGGGGACCAUCCUCCAAGGCUAAAUACUCCUGACUGACCGAUAGUGAACCAGUACCGUGAGGGAAAGGCGAAAAGAACCCCGGCGAGGGGAGUGAAAAAGAACCUGAAACCGUGUACGUACAAGCAGUGGGAGCACGCUUAGGCGUGUGACUGCGUACCUUUUGUAUAAUGGGUCAGCGACUUAUAUUCUGUAGCAAGGUUAACCGAAUAGGGGAGCCGAAGGGAAACCGAGUCUUAACUGGGCGUUAAGUUGCAGGGUAUAGACCCGAAACCCGGUGAUCUAGCCAUGGGCAGGUUGAAGGUUGGGUAACACUAACUGGAGGACCGAACCGACUAAUGUUGAAAAAUUAGCGGAUGACUUGUGGCUGGGGGUGAAAGGCCAAUCAAACCGGGAGAUAGCUGGUUCUCCCCGAAAGCUAUUUAGGUAGCGCCUCGUGAAUUCAUCUCCGGGGGUAGAGCACUGUUUCGGCAAGGGGGUCAUCCCGACUUACCAACCCGAUGCAAACUGCGAAUACCGGAGAAUGUUAUCACGGGAGACACACGGCGGGUGCUAACGUCCGUCGUGAAGAGGGAAACAACCCAGACCGCCAGCUAAGGUCCCAAAGUCAUGGUUAAGUGGGAAACGAUGUGGGAAGGCCCAGACAGCCAGGAUGUUGGCUUAGAAGCAGCCAUCAUUUAAAGAAAGCGUAAUAGCUCACUGGUCGAGUCGGCCUGCGCGGAAGAUGUAACGGGGCUAAACCAUGCACCGAAGCUGCGGCAGCGACGCUUAUGCGUUGUUGGGUAGGGGAGCGUUCUGUAAGCCUGUGAAGGUGUGCUGUGAGGCAUGCUGGAGGUAUCAGAAGUGCGAAUGCUGACAUAAGUAACGAUAAAGCGGGUGAAAAGCCCGCUCGCCGGAAGACCAAGGGUUCCUGUCCAACGUUAAUCGGGGCAGGGUGAGUCGACCCCUAAGGCGAGGCCGAAAGGCGUAGUCGAUGGGAAACAGGUUAAUAUUCCUGUACUUGGUGUUACUGCGAAGGGGGGACGGAGAAGGCUAUGUUGGCCGGGCGACGGUUGUCCCGGUUUAAGCGUGUAGGCUGGUUUUCCAGGCAAAUCCGGAAAAUCAAGGCUGAGGCGUGAUGACGAGGCACUACGGUGCUGAAGCAACAAAUGCCCUGCUUCCAGGAAAAGCCUCUAAGCAUCAGGUAACAUCAAAUCGUACCCCAAACCGACACAGGUGGUCAGGUAGAGAAUACCAAGGCGCUUGAGAGAACUCGGGUGAAGGAACUAGGCAAAAUGGUGCCGUAACUUCGGGAGAAGGCACGCUGAUAUGUAGGUGAAGUCCCUCGCGGAUGGAGCUGAAAUCAGUCGAAGAUACCAGCUGGCUGCAACUGUUUAUUAAAAACACAGCACUGUGCAAACACGAAAGUGGACGUAUACGGUGUGACGCCUGCCCGGUGCCGGAAGGUUAAUUGAUGGGGUUAGCGGUAACGCGAAGCUCUUGAUCGAAGCCCCGGUAAACGGCGGCCGUAACUAUAACGGUCCUAAGGUAGCGAAAUUCCUUGUCGGGUAAGUUCCGACCUGCACGAAUGGCGUAAUGAUGGCCAGGCUGUCUCCACCCGAGACUCAGUGAAAUUGAACUCGCUGUGAAGAUGCAGUGUACCCGCGGCAAGACGGAAAGACCCCGUGAACCUUUACUAUAGCUUGACACUGAACAUUGAGCCUUGAUGUGUAGGAUAGGUGGGAGGCUUUGAAGUGUGGACGCCAGUCUGCAUGGAGCCGACCUUGAAAUACCACCCUUUAAUGUUUGAUGUUCUAACGUGGACCCGUAAUCCGGGUUGCGGACAGUGUCUGGUGGGUAGUUUGACUGGGGCGGUCUCCUCCUAAAGAGUAACGGAGGAGCACGAAGGUUGGCUAAUCCUGGUCGGACAUCAGGAGGUUAGUGCAAUGGCAUAAGCCAGCUUGACUGCGAGCGUGACGGCGCGAGCAGGUGCGAAAGCAGGUCAUAGUGAUCCGGUGGUUCUGAAUGGAAGGGCCAUCGCUCAACGGAUAAAAGGUACUCCGGGGAUAACAGGCUGAUACCGCCCAAGAGUUCAUAUCGACGGCGGUGUUUGGCACCUCGAUGUCGGCUCAUCACAUCCUGGGGCUGAAGUAGGUCCCAAGGGUAUGGCUGUUCGCCAUUUAAAGUGGUACGCGAGCUGGGUUUAGAACGUCGUGAGACAGUUCGGUCCCUAUCUGCCGUGGGCGCUGGAGAACUGAGGGGGGCUGCUCCUAGUACGAGAGGACCGGAGUGGACGCAUCACUGGUGUUCGGGUUGUCAUGCCAAUGGCACUGCCCGGUAGCUAAAUGCGGAAGAGAUAAGUGCUGAAAGCAUCUAAGCACGAAACUUGCCCCGAGAUGAGUUCUCCCUGACCCUUUAAGGGUCCUGAAGGAACGUUGAAGACGACGACGUUGAUAGGCCGGGUGUGUAAGCGCAGCGAUGCGUUGAGCUAACCGGUACUAAUGAACCGUGAGGCUUAACCUU
This 2906-nucleotide ribosomal RNA is filed under the name Escherichia coli. Its description in RNAcentral is "23S ribosomal RNA". It matches the Rfam family "Bacterial large subunit ribosomal RNA". The record is from RNAcentral. Lineage: Bacteria; Pseudomonadati; Pseudomonadota; Gammaproteobacteria; Enterobacterales; Enterobacteriaceae.